Pseudopipra pipra is the source of this 1121-nucleotide long non-coding RNA. RefSeq lists it as uncharacterized. The transcript has 3 exons. The record is from RefSeq and is a predicted model, not a curated record. NCBI's taxonomy places the organism in Eukaryota, Metazoa, Chordata, Aves, Passeriformes, Pipridae.
GACCCGGCCGGGAGGGGAGUGUGGGGACAGGACAGCCCCGGCCGGGAGGGGAGUGCGGGGACAGGACAGCCCCGGCCGGGAGGGGAGUGCGGGGACAGGACAGCCCCGGCCGGGAGGGGAGUGUUGGGACAGGACAGCCCCGGCCGGGAGGGGAGUGUUGGGACAGGACAGCCCCGGCCGUGAGGGGAGUGCGGGGACAGGACAGCCCCGGCCGGGAGGGGAGUGUUGGGACAGGACAGCCCCGGCCGUGAGGGGAGUGCGGGGACAGGACAGCCCCGGCCGGGAGGGGAGUGCGGGGACCCGGGAGCCCCGGCCGGGAGGGGAGUGCGGGGACAGGGGAGCCCCGGCCGGGAGGGGAGUGGGGGGACAGGACAGCCCCGGCCGGGAGGGGAGUGGGGGGACAGGACAGCCCCGGCCGGGAGGGGAGUGUGGGGACAGGGGAGCCCCGGCCGGGAGAGAAGUGUGGGGACAGGACAGCCCCGGCCGUGAGGGGAGCGCGGGGGAAGCCAGUGAGCCCCAAGGAGCCCGGCCGUGCGGGGAGUUCCCGUGAACCCCGGAGAUAGGGGCUGUGACCUGUCGUGGCAGUGGAGCACACGACAGCCGCCCUGCUGCUCCAGAGGGGAUGACAGCUUCUGACCCAUCCAGCAGCAACUGAGCGGCCAUCCUGGACAGAGAGCCAGUCCUGCUCCACUGGGAAACCACUGAGCCGAAUCACACCUCCAAACUCUCCUUGGCUUAAACAGAGCUAAGUGCAUCCCUCUGCCUGCCCUCCCUCUGCAGUCCUGGCGAGACAAGGCUGAAGUCACAGCCCUUGGUGGUGGUGGCUCUCCUACAUGACAGAACAUUUCUGCUCGGCCGCCUGCUUCAUUUCAGUGAAGGUGGCUUGUGCCUUCUCUUUGAUCUGAUCCAUGUCCAUGUUCUGGAUGUUCUGCAGCUGCCCCAGGAUGGAGUCCUUGUCUUCUUCCUCCUCCUGAUCUUGUGCCACCAUCUUCUGCAGGUCUUCUGGCAAACCCACGUCAUCCCCAGCCAUCUGUAUUUGAUUCUCAUCCAGUUCACUCUGAUGCAAAAAGCAGAAAAUAAAAACAGCACAUGAGAGUACUUCUGCUCUCCCAGGAUCUACA